GGGGGAGGAGGCCUAAGGCAGUGCUGGUGACUGGGGUGAAGUCGUAACAAGGUAGCCGUACCGGAAGGUGUGGCUGGAUCACCUCCUUUUUAGGGAGACCUACCCAACUUUAAUAUCGAGGACACACAGUUAAUAGAUAUAAAGAUGGUCAUUCCUAGGUCGGUCGCAAACACUUGUAAAAAGCUUUCAAACUAUGAUUUGGUUCAAUUAUGGGCUAUUACCUCAGGUGGUUAGAGCGCACCCCUGAAAAGGGUGAGGUCCCUGGUUCGAGUCCAGGAUGGCCCACCUGAAUCAAUGCAAAAUUAAAAAUUCAAAAUUCAAAAUUAAGAAGUUAUUUUUGAAUUUUGCAUUUUGAAUUUUGAAUUGUGUUGGGGGGUUUAGCUCAGUUGGUAGAGCGCCUGCUUUGCAAGCAGGAUGUCAGCGGUUCGAGUCCGCUAACCUCCACCUUGAGAGCGUCAGCAAUCAAAGCAAAGAUAAAAUUCAGCAAAAUGGCAUUUUGCCAGACUGCUGGGUUAAAUCUCAGCCAGAACCUUGAAAAACUGCAUAA
RNAcentral lists this unclassified non-coding RNA (547 nucleotides) under Nostoc linckia NIES-25. Its description in RNAcentral is "partial may contain 16S ribosomal RNA, 16S-23S ribosomal RNA intergenic spacer, and 23S ribosomal RNA". The stretch from base 372 to 444 matches the Rfam family "tRNA". The record is from RNAcentral. Lineage: Bacteria; Bacillati; Cyanobacteriota; Cyanophyceae; Nostocales; Nostocaceae.